This 459-nucleotide ribosomal RNA is filed under the name uncultured bacterium. Its description in RNAcentral is "partial 16S ribosomal RNA". It matches the Rfam family "Bacterial small subunit ribosomal RNA", at positions 338 to 795 of the family's 1533-position model. The record is from RNAcentral.
CCUACGGGUGGCAGCAGUGAGGAAUAUUGGUCAAUGGGCGCGAGCCUGAACCAGCCAAGUAGCGUGAAGGAUGACGGCCCUACGGGUUGUAAACUUCUUUUAUAAGGGAAUAAAGUGACGUACGUGUAGGUUUUUGCAUGUACCUUAUGAAUAAGGACCGGCUAAUUCCGUGCCAGCAGCCGCGGUAAUACGGAGGAUCCGAGCGUUAUCCGGAUUUAUUGGGUUUAAAGGGAGCGUAGGCGGAUUUUUAAGGCAGCGGUAAAAUGUCCGGGCUCAACCCGGGCCGGCCGUGGAAACUGGGGUGCUUGAGUGCGCGAGAAGCAUGCGGAAUGCGUGGUGUAGCGGUGAAAUGCUUAGAUAUGACGAAGAACCCCGAUUGCGAAGGCAGCAUGCCGGAGCGGAACUGACGCUGAGGCUCGAAAGCGUGGGGAUCGAACAGGAUUAGAUACCCCGGUAGUC